Molecule: long non-coding RNA, 235 nt
Filed under: Citrus x clementina
Lineage: Eukaryota; Viridiplantae; Streptophyta; Magnoliopsida; Sapindales; Rutaceae
Description: Citrus clementina (C. clementina) long non-coding RNA (CCLE_LNC004200)
Source: RNAcentral
UUUUUUCUGUGCUACGAAAUUAACUGUAAAAUUAGAAAAUGCGACUCUAAUUUCUAAUUAAUAAAAUUAGAAAUUUAUUAAUUUAUUAGAAGUAUUAGCGCAUACCAACAAUAUCAUACUAAAUCAAAGAAAGAAAAAGCAUAAAAAUACUUUUAAAAAAGAAAAAAAAUGAACUAAAAAACUACUAAAGAACCCCGAUAAAGAAACCUGACUAAAUAACGGAUCAAUACUGCCC